GACGAACGCUGGCGGCGUGCCUAAUACAUGCAAGUAGAACGCACAGUUUAUACCGUAGCUUGCUACACCAUAGACUGUGAGUUGCGAACGGGUGAGUAACGCGUAGGUAACCUGCCUGGUAGCGGGGGAUAACUAUUGGAAACGAUAGCUAGUACCGCAUAAUAUUAAUUAUUGCAUGAUAAUUAAUUGAAAGGUGCAAUUGCACCACUACCAGAUGGACCUGCGUUGUAUUAGCUAGUAGGUGAGGUAACGGCUCACCUAGGCGACGAUACAUAGCCGACCUGAGAGGGUGAUCGGCCACACUGGGACUGAGACACGGCCCAGACUCCUACGGGAGGCAGCAGUAGGGAAUCUUCGGCAAUGGACGAAAGUCUGACCGAGCAACGCCGCGUGAGUGAAGAAGGUUUUCGGAUCGUAAAGCUCUGCUGUAAGAGAAGAACGGGUGUGAGAGUGGAAAGUUCACACUGUGACGGUAUCUUACCAGAAAGGGACGGCUAACUACGUG
RNAcentral lists this ribosomal RNA (505 nucleotides) under uncultured bacterium. RNAcentral's name for it is "partial 16S ribosomal RNA". It matches the Rfam family "Bacterial small subunit ribosomal RNA", at positions 28 to 507 of the family's 1533-position model. The record is from RNAcentral.